ACAAUUCAGCCCAUCACAGGGAUAUGAGCUGAAAGAAUAUCUUGGCCAAAUUAUUCCAUCCCACCAGCAUCAGGAGAAGGGAACCAAACUGUAUCAGAGAGCUCCACAAGAAACCCAGUGUGGGAGUAAGGAGGCAUUUCCCCACCAGCUCUGCAGUGAAGCAGAUCUCUCUGGAUGCUCUCCCCAUAGCAGCACAGCCCACGACAGCCAGGACUGCAGGGUAAGUGGAAAUCCAGGACCCCAAAGCCGGGGUGCCAGCUCUUCAUCUAGACCUCUGUUCCUGCCUCUCAGCUACCCGUCCCUCCCGCCUGGGAGCCAUGGAUAAAAACAACUACCUGCUCUGUCUGGAAACCAACACCAGAGGCUGAUCUGAGUCCAGAAUGACAUACCUAUAUGAGGAAGAUCACGGCUUGGCAUCAACUUUAGAGAUAGAAUAGGACAUGUCCUUGAAAGAAUUACAGGUAGACGGAGAAUCAUUUGAAAGAAAACCUUCUUGCCUGCAGAUUGCACACACGUUUUUGAACAUCUCAGAGUAAAAAGGAACGGUUCAACUCGCUUGUCAAAUCUAAGCGGGUGGUAAGAGGGACAGAAACACUGUUUCUACAGCCAGGAAUCUUUUAAAUCAAAGGUUACUGAUAAGCAUUUGCCUUUUAACAUCUCCUGCUCAAGACCCUUUGUAGAAACAGUUUCUGUUUGCUUGUGUUCCCCUGGGGAAAGGGACAGUGUUGUAUCCCAAUCUGCUGCCUUAAGCCUCUGGUUUAAAUGAUUUACAUCAACCCUCCCUUGGUCUUCAGUACUUUUUCAUGCCAAGUACUGAUGCUCUGACCCAAAGAUGGGAAGCAAGUCUUGGCUCCUCCUGUGUCCAAGGCUUUGAUCAACCCGAUGUAUCUUGCUGCCUGCCUAAAGUGUAAAUGAGAUUAUAUUUUAUAUUUACAGCGUGGCUCCUGGGAGGGCAGCUGAAGAUAUUACACAUGGGGUGCUUGCAAAAACAAUAAACCGUUCUCCAUGGAUGAGGAUGACAUUCCUGACCCGCCCUCUGAGAGGAUGAGCUCACAGUUGCUUUCCCUGGGGAGAGCACCACUCCCGUCACCUGGUUGCCAUUUGUCUCGGGCCAGCCAGGUUGGGGGUGCAGCUAAGUGAAGAGAACAAAGUUUGCCUCUGUGCAAAGCUAACUGACCCAUUUACCAAUCCCACCAAUCAAACUCGUGAUGUCAGUCUUCCUGGCAGGAGCCACAGACCCACACGUCUAACUGCUCCAUAGGAACCAAUGCGUCCGCAAACAGACUUCUGCCCCCCAGAGCACGCUUGCUCUGGGGCUGGAGUGUGUGCACAGAGCUCCGCCCCUUGUCACCGCCCCCUGCACCCUGGG
Lontra canadensis (Northern American river otter) is the source of this 1369-nucleotide long non-coding RNA. RefSeq lists it as uncharacterized. Lineage: Eukaryota; Metazoa; Chordata; Mammalia; Carnivora; Mustelidae. The record is from RefSeq and is a predicted model, not a curated record. The transcript has 3 exons.